Long non-coding RNA from Fukomys damarensis (Damara mole-rat), 1855 nucleotides. The record is from Ensembl. NCBI's taxonomy places the organism in Eukaryota, Metazoa, Chordata, Mammalia, Rodentia, Bathyergidae.
GGGUACAGUGGGGUGGGUUUGAAGCGGGAACCGGGACUGGAGACUGGCGCUCCCUAGAGCUCCGAGGUCCCCACACAGUGCGAUCCGGAGCGCGGGUGGAACUCCAGCUCCUCCGUCGCGAGAGUCUGCAUCUCUAUUCCCGCAGAGAAACGCAGCAGUUUUGGGUGUCAGCGCCCCUUUUGUCCCGUACCUGAACCCCGGUGACUCCGUGAGCCGCUGGGUCUGAACCUCCUGGCACCCUCUGUCGCGGGGAUCCCGGACUGCGCGCGGUGCGGACGGUGGGCUUGAGCACCUGAUGGAUCUGGCUUGCAGGCUCCGCAGACUCCAGCACGAAGCUUUCUGGGCUGCUCCGGGCGACUUCUGUGUGCCUAGACCCCUCCAGUCUCUGUGUGCGUGGAAACGCCAAGGCAGCAUGAGGAAGAAGGAAAAGCAGUCUUUCGGAGGGCAGCCUGGAAAGGAAGGGGCUGACUUCCUCCCUUAGAGGGCUGGUAAGGGGAGGAAGCUUCCUCUCUGAUUUGUAUCCCGCUUCAGGUUUGCCUAUGCUGGUUUGGCGUCUGCAUUGCACAUCCUCCAACCACAGGAUGUGCACAGCGGGCACAGCUCCCCACUGUGUCCUUGCCGUCCACCUGCCCGCGGGCCAGUCGGCAUCCACGGAGGGAAAAUCUGCGGAACACACUCGGGUCUGCGCUGCACGGGCGCCCUUCCUCCUGGACAAGAUGCUGAGAGCCAUCUGACAUUUGUGCACAUAAGGAACCGAAUCACACCCUCUUUUAAGAUGGAAAUCAGACAGUUCAUUUCUUAGCCAGAAGAUGGAUGAGUUUACACUGGCUGUGACAGGACAUGCCUUUGGAGGACUUUGGGUAGAAUUAAAAGAGCAUUACUCACAAGACUGUAGUGCUGGUCUGAGCUAAUCACCUCCUGCCCAUAUGAUCUUUGGCCAGUGACUUGGCUUAGCUGAAUCCUCGAUUCUCCAACAUAAAAGAUGGUACAAUCCUCACCACUGUCUUGUGAGAUUUUUAUCAAUUGAUGCAAUGUGUGUGAAAUUGUUUUGCAAACAAGAUUCUAUACAUAUCAGUUGUGUAAAAAAUAUAAUUUUAACCCGGAAUUGUAACCUGAAAUGAAAACUUUAUCCCCCACGUACUUCUCAGCCAACAGUGUUAUCUUUUCCUCUUCCAUGUCAGGGCCGUGUCACCUCUUUGAUCACUACAGGGUGCCUGGAAAAUUAUCCUGAUGAAUUGUAGAUAUUCAAUAAGUCCCUGUUGGCCUAAAAGCUAUCAAGAAGAAAAAAAUGGUAAAUUGGACCUCAUCAUUAUUGAAAGUGCUCAUUCUGUGAAAGACUCUUAAGAGGAUGAAAAGUAAAGUAACUGACAAAGACUUGCAUCUAAAAUAUUGAGAAUUCUUGACAUUCAAUAGUAAAAAUAGUGGGGGAAAGGUAAUAAGGGAGAGGAAAAAAUGUGAGAAAUUGAAAAAAAUGGAAAUAAAGUGUUUGUAAAUGAGGAGGGGAGGAGGGGGUGAAGGGAGGGCAGAGACAAGGGGAAAAAAUGAGAAUCAAGACCUAUUAUGUAAAGGUACAGGAUCCCAAUGAUGAAUGUAACUGUAUUGUAUACCUAGAUUGUACCUAUAAACUCAAUAAAAAGAAAAAAAACCCAAAAAACAAAACAAAACAACAAAAAAAGUAAAAAUAAACCUCAAGCAAUCCAGUUAGAAAAUGGACAAAGAGACCAUGAAGAGAUAUUUCACCAGAGUUUAUACAACUGGCAAAUAAGCACAUUGAAAGAUGUUUGAUGUGAUUACCCAUCAAUUAAAUGCAGACUACAACCACACUGAGGUGGGUCUAACCCCAUCAAACCGGGCA